RNAcentral lists this ribosomal RNA (481 nucleotides) under uncultured bacterium. Its description in RNAcentral is "partial 16S ribosomal RNA". It matches the Rfam family "Bacterial small subunit ribosomal RNA", at positions 28 to 507 of the family's 1533-position model. The record is from RNAcentral.
GACGAACGUUGGCGGCGUGCUUAAUACAUGCAAGUCAACUGAAGCAGUGGUAGCAAUAUCGCUGUGGAGGUGGCGCACGGGUGAGUAACACGUAGGUAAUCUGCCUUCAGGUCUGGCAUAACUCCGGGAAACCGGGGCUAAUAGCAGAUGAUGCAGCGGCUCGACAUCGAGACAGUUGUUAAAGCUAUGGCGCCUGAAGAUGAGCCUGCGUCUGAUUAGCUAGUUGGCGGGGUAACGGCCCACCAAGGCAACGAUCAGUAGCUGGUCUGAGAGGAUGAUCAGCAACACUGGAACUGAGACACGGUCCAGACUCCUACGGGAGGCAGCAGUAAGGAAUAUUGCUCAAUGGGAGAAAUACUGAAGCAGCAACGCCGCGUGAGGGACGAAGGGCUUUUGCUUGUAAACCUCUGUAGUGAGAGAAAAAAAUCCCAAUCUUUGGGACAUGAUGGUAUCUCAAAAGUAAGCCCCGGCUAACUACGUG